Molecule: long non-coding RNA, 823 nt
Filed under: Marmota monax (woodchuck)
Lineage: Eukaryota; Metazoa; Chordata; Mammalia; Rodentia; Sciuridae
Source: RNAcentral
UGUAAAUCCAAGUUAUCUUUAAAAACAUCAAGGAUCUAACAAACACUGCAUAAGAAGCAGUUGCGACAGUAUAUGACUGAGAGUUUGUGGUGGGUGGCCAACUAUAGGAGCAGUGGGCAAAGUGGGUAUUGAGAGGUAAUCAGGGCAAGGUUCCUACAGAAGCAAACCCUGACAGGCCCUGAGAGGAGGUGGAGCCAACUGAGGGGUCACUCCAGGUGUAGUAACCAAGGCAAGAGGAAGGGCAGAUGACCUGCGGGGGACAUACUGCAGGGGCCAGUGGGCUGAGGCAGGUGUUUCACUGAGGGUCAGCAGGAAAGCAGGUUGGACUACUCUAGGGAAGGCAGGGCUGAAGGAUCACUAGGACCCAGCAGAGGAGUCUGAGCAGGUGACACUGUGCUACAGAUUCUCAUUCAGCGAAGGACCCAGUGAGAUGGUGUAUACAGAUGCUCCUGGACUUAGGGUACCACUACAUCCCAACAAGGGCAUCAUUAAGUUGAAGAUACUGAAAGCCACAACUAACCUAUAGGACAUCCUGUCUCAGCAGCACAGAACGCAGCAGUCACAGGCUCCCCGUGGACAUGGCGCAGCUGCCUGGGGCCUGCCACUGGCCGCUGGAGCUGGGAGAGAGUUGGGGUGGCUGAAUUGGGAGUUAGUGAUCACUAGAGCCCACUCCCUUGGGGAGGGAGGCAGGAAAGAAAGAGGAGAGGACACAUUCCAAAGCAUUUAAAGCAGUAGAAUCAUAGAUUGGAGUGACGGAUGGAUUUGGAAGAUGAAGAGGGAGGAGUAGAAGAUGAUUUCUGGGUCAUGCUUAUGAGACGGGUGA